This 429-nucleotide ribosomal RNA is filed under the name Bacillota bacterium. RNAcentral's name for it is "Firmicutes bacterium partial 16S ribosomal RNA". It matches the Rfam family "Bacterial small subunit ribosomal RNA", at positions 355 to 776 of the family's 1533-position model. The record is from RNAcentral. Lineage: Bacteria; Bacillati; Bacillota.
UAGGGAAUCUUCGGCAAUGGACGAAAGUCUGACCGAGCAACGCCGCGUGAGUGAAGAAGGUUUUCGGAUCGUAAAACUCUGUUGGUAGAGAAGAACGUUGGUGAGAGUGGAAAGCUCAUCAAGUGACGGUAACUACCCAGAAAGGGACGGCUAACUACGUGCCAGCAGCCGCGGUAAUACGUAGGUCCCGAGCGUUGUCCGGAUUUAUUGGGCGUAAAGCGAGCGCAGGUGGUUUAUUAAGUCUGGUGUAAAAGGCAGUGGCUCAACCAUUGUAUGCAUUGGAAACUGGUAGACUUGAGUGCAGGAGAGGAGAGUGGAAUUCCAUGUGUAACGGUGAAAUGCGUAGAUAUAUGGAGGAACACCGGUGGCGAAAGCGGCUCUCUGGCCUGUAACUGACACUGAGGCUCGAAAGCGUGGGGAGCAAACAGG